CACGUAGGGCGCAAGCGUUGUCCGGAAUUAUUGGGCGUAAAGAGCUCGUAGGCGGUCUGUUGCGUCUGCUGUGAAAACCCGGGGCUUAACCCCUGGCUUGCAGUGGAUACGGACAGACUAGAGGUAGGUAGGGGAGAAUGGAAUUCCCGGUGUAGCGGUGAAAUGCGCAGAUAUCGGGAGGAACACCAAUGGCGAAGGCAGCUCGCUGGGACGGUACUGACGCUGAGACGCGAAAGCGUGGGGAGCAAACAGG
RNAcentral lists this ribosomal RNA (253 nucleotides) under uncultured bacterium. RNAcentral describes it as "partial 16S ribosomal RNA". It matches the Rfam family "Bacterial small subunit ribosomal RNA", at positions 524 to 776 of the family's 1533-position model. The record is from RNAcentral.